GCCUGGGUGGCUUAGUUAAGCAUCUGACUUCAGCUCAGGUCAUGAUCUCAUGGUUUGUAGGUUCAAGCCCUACAUCAGGCU
RNAcentral lists this transfer RNA (81 nucleotides) under Felis catus (domestic cat). It matches the Rfam family "tRNA". Rfam says of the family: Transfer RNA (tRNA) molecules are approximately 80 nucleotides in length. The record is from Rfam by way of RNAcentral. Lineage: Eukaryota; Metazoa; Chordata; Mammalia; Carnivora; Felidae. RNAcentral also lists the same sequence under 6 other names.